GCGCUUGGACGGCGCGGCGAAGAUGUUUAUAUUAGACCGGUCGGCGGAUUUCCGUCGACUAUGGCGAUAAACGCCGCGCGAAAUAAGCGUUGCGGACCCGGGGGCAGUACCCGGCGCCUCCACCAUUUCGUUUCGCCGGCACUUGGCGCCAAGAGCGCCGGGCCGGGGCGAUGUUUUUACGGGGGCGAACCAGGAUCGACGUGCGUGGUAAAGGUUCGGUUUUCGCUCGGUAUGGUACCACCGUUAUCGGGCCAAAAUGUAAGUGCGAACGAUAAUGAAGUAGCACUCGCUGCCUAGCAUUGCUGGGUAAGCGCGGUUCGGGGGGCACCGGGCAACAGAAGCCCCCCACU
This 350-nucleotide transfer-messenger RNA is filed under the name Alphaproteobacteria bacterium. It matches the Rfam family "Alphaproteobacteria transfer-messenger RNA". Rfam says of the family: Bacterial tmRNA, also known as 10Sa RNA or SsrA, is named for its dual tRNA and mRNA-like properties. Its role is to liberate the mRNA from a stalled ribosome. Lineage: Bacteria; Pseudomonadati; Pseudomonadota; Alphaproteobacteria. The record is from RNAcentral.